AGUUUGAUUCUGGCUCAGGAUGAACGCUAGCUACAGGCUUAACACAUGCAAGUCGAGGGGCAGCAUUAUCGAAGCUUGCUUUGAUAGAUGGCGACCGGCGCACGGGUGAGUAACGCGUAUCCAACCUUCCCAUCACUCAGGGAUAGCCCGCCGAAAGGCGAAUUAAUACCUGAUGGUCUCCUUUGCGGACAUCUAACGAGGAGUAAAGAUUUAUUGGUGAUGGAUGGGGAUGCGUCUGAUUAGGUAGUAGGCGGGGUAACGGCCCACCUAGCCGACGAUCAGUAGGGGUUCUGAGAGGAAGGUCCCCCACAUUGGAACUGAGACACGGUCCAAACUCCUACGGGAGGCAGCAGUGAGGAAUAUUGGUCAAUGGACGGAAGUCUGAACCAGCCAAGUAGCGUGCCAGGAUGACGGCCCUAUGGGUUGUAAACUGCUUUUGUGCGGGAAUAAAGUAUGGGACGUGUCCCGUUUUGCAUGUACCGCACGAAUAAGGACCGGCUAAUUCCGUGCCAGCAGCCGC
This 520-nucleotide ribosomal RNA is filed under the name uncultured bacterium. RNAcentral's name for it is "bacterial SSU rRNA". It matches the Rfam family "Bacterial small subunit ribosomal RNA", at positions 10 to 518 of the family's 1533-position model. The record is from RNAcentral.